Long non-coding RNA from Orcinus orca (killer whale), 5900 nucleotides. RefSeq lists it as uncharacterized. Lineage: Eukaryota; Metazoa; Chordata; Mammalia; Artiodactyla; Delphinidae. The transcript is spliced from 3 exons. The record is from RefSeq and is a predicted model, not a curated record.
CUCAUAGAGCUCAAUAUCAAAAAAAAAUCAAAAAAUAGGUGGAAGAUCUAAAUAGACAUUUCUCCAAAGAAGACAUAUAGUUGGCCAAAAAGCAUAUGAAAAGAUGCUCAACAUCACGAAUUAUUAGAGAAAUGCAAAUCAAAACUACAAUGAGAUAUCACCUCACACCAGGAAGAAUGGCCAUCAUCAAAAAAUCUACAAACAAAUACAUGCUGGAGAGGGUGUGGAGCAAAGGGAACCCUCUUACACUGUUGGUGGGAAGGUAAAUUGGUGCAGCCACUAUGGAGAACAGUAUGGAGGUUCCUUAAAAAACUAAAAAUAGAAUUACCAUACGACCCAGCAAUCCCACUCCUGGGCGUAUAUCUGGAGAAAAGUGUAAUUUGAAAAGAUACACACACCCCAAUGUUCAUUGCAGCACUAUUUACAAUAGCCAGGACAUGGAGGCAACCAAAAUGUCCAUCAACAGAGGAAUGGUUAAAGAUGUGGUACAUAUAUACAAUGGAAUAUUACUCAGCCGUAAAAAAGAAUGAAAUAGUGCCACUUGCAGCAACAUAGAUGGACCUAGAGAUUGUCAUACCGAAUGAAGUAAGUCAGACAGAGAAAGACAAAUAUAUGAUAUCCCUUGUAUGUGGAAUCUAAAAAGAGGGGUACAAAUGAACUUAUUUACAAAACAGAAAUAGAGUCACAGAUGUAGGAAACAAACAUGGUUACCAAAGGGGAAAGGAGGGGGAUAAAUUGGGAGAUUGGGAUUGACAUAUACACACUACUAUAUAUAAAAUAGAUAACUAAUAAGAACCUACUGUAUAGCACAGGGAACUCUAUUCAGUGAUCUGUAAUGACCUAUAUGGGAAAAGAAUCUAAAAAAGAAUGGAUGUAUAUAUGAGUGCAACUGAUUUACUUUGCUGUAAAGCAGAAACUAACACAACAUUCUAAAUCAACUAUACUCCAAUAAAAAUUAAUUUAAAAUAAUUUUAAAAACCCAUGGCUCAAGCACACACCAACUACCAUAAACCCUCCCUUCCCAGACUGGAGCUUAAGGAAGAUGGGAAUGCCUUUUUCCAUUUCCUUUAAUAUCUAUCAAACAUUGGACAUUAAUGAAUUUAUUUCCUCAUUGCCUUUGAUCUUUGUUUUAACCAAGUUCAGCAGGUGGCAGAGGGACUUGUGAAUCUUUGCUGUAACUGUCCGCCAUUGGUCCCUCUUAGGAAGAUCCUGCUAUGAUUGCUGCUGGGGCUUUUUGUUGUUGCUGUUAAUUUAGGACAGCUUAUAAAACAAGAUAAGUCUAGUUUCCGUUUCUAGAAUGAUUCUUUCCUUAGAAGUACUUAUCUUAAAAGGAUUCAUUGAGGAGCCCCCAUGAAGAUAUCUUUAAUUUUUCCUAGUGAAAGUAUUUUUUGUUUUGCUAAAUACAUGGUAUUAUUUAGAGUUUCUUGUAAAUUAAUCCUAAAAGUACUUGGGAAUUUGCUGCAAACCAGUGUUCCUUCAAUGAUGAGUCAAAUAGUUACUAUUAGAGGGCUGGAAGGUGACCCUUCCUGAACCUGUUUUUCAAGAUAUAGCAGCAGAGUUGUUUGCAACACUAUCAGAUUUCUUUUUUCUGAAGUAUACUGCUUUCAUGUUACCAAACUUUUUUCUCCUCAAUCUUCUCUUCAAAUGUCAGUUUUGUCUCAGGAAGUGACUUCCCCAUUCAGCUAAUAAAGUGUCUGCUCUUCCAUAUUUAUCGGGGAAUGAAUGACGAGUGUCCCCACCGGCACAAUGCCUGGCGUGUCGAAGGUACACAAUAAGUGUUUUGUUUUAAUGGAAAACACUAAGGAAAUGUUUCAUAAUGUUGCAUCACAAUGAUAAUUUCAACAAUAUGCAUUCAUUCCAACUGAAUAAAGGUAAGAAUUUUUCCUACAAUGUGGCUCUACUGCCAGCCAACCCCUGCAUCUGCAGCCCAGCCCAAGGAACAACCUAUUCCAAUCCUGGAGGUAAAAUCGGCUUUAUUAGGAUUUUACUUUGUAAGCAACUUAAGAGAUUUUCAACAGUAAAUUUGAUUAUAAGGAGUUUUACCUUACAAGUUAUUCAAGUACAUAAUCCCUAGGAGAAUCUGCUUUAACUGGCUUUAAAUAUACUAAGUAUUAUCAUGCAUACAAAUGACUACUUAUUCUGUGAAACCAUAAAAAGCAAGAGAAUAGGGAGAUGAAGUUUAUUUCAGCUUAGAGAACUUUCUAAUAAUCAUUUUGAACAUGCCGUGGACUGUCGCAUAAGGUAGAACACUCAGCCUUUGGAAAUAUUUGGUCAGGGGUUGCAUGAGGACCUGAAAAGCUAAAACAGAUCGUUUUAAAGCACCCCUGUGACUGAUGCAGUAUUGAGAAACAUUGCUCUAGGCCUUCCACUCUGACCAAAGUUUCAGCCCAAAUUUGGCUGACUUAGAAUGAAGUUUAAUAGUAAAGUAGGAUCGUAAAAGUUUGUUGUUUUUUUGUAAACCAAACUUUACACCGCUCUGAUCAAAGAACCUGGAAGCGCCUGUUAGAAUAUUCUUCUGGGUCUCUAAGAAACUUUGAGCUAAAUACUCUAGAAAGAUAAUUGAGAAUCCUUGACAUUUGUCCAGAAGUUUCCAACAUUGAUGAAUGUGAUCUUCAAGUUUUGUCUUCAUCCGUUCGGCCUGCUGAAACAGAAUCCCAUAGACUAGGUGGCUUGUAAACAAUAGUUACAAGUUGAGCUUGUUUUUCACAGUCAUGGAAGCCGGGGGCACAAGAUCAAGGCCCCGGCAAAUUUGGUGUCCAGUGAGGGCCCGCUUCCUGGUUCACAGAUGGCCGGCUGUUCCCUGUGUCCUCCCGCUGUCGCGUCAGAGGGUCUCUGGUAAGGGCACUAAUCCCGUCAUUAGAUGAAGCCCUCCAAAAGGCCCCACUCUCUCACACCAUCAGCUUGGGGUUUGGGUCUCAGCACGAAUUCUGGGGGACACAAACCUUCAGUCCAUGACGAGCUUGCAUUCACCAGGCAGUUACUUAGUUGCAGUCAGCAGUUCUAUGCCCUGCUGCAGGCUGAGUCAGCACCGAGGGGAUUGAAAGCUGGCCAAGGGUGUUCUUCGGCUGUAAACACCGUCAGUUCUCCCAGGAGGCAGGCUGUGUACGCCAGGCAAGGUUUUAAGCACUUUAUGAAAAGUAAGCUGUUUAAUUCUCCCACCUCCCCCCGCCCCAAAUCUAGCAUCUACGUUUCGUGAUGAGGAGUCCAUGACAGAAACUGGCUGUUUGCCCAAGUUCACAAAGCGAGUUGGCAGCAGAGCCUGGCCUUGAACUCAGGCAGCUGGGUGCCAGGCCGCACAGGGACCACGAGCUGUGCCACUUCUCUGGGAGCACAGAAGGCAAUGCUACCACCCUGUGAUGCAGAGAACGCACUGUCCCUGUGGAAGAAGAGACCAGACAAACCGCAGACAAGCACGAAUGGGCGAGACAGAUUGGACUUGCACAUUUAAUAUUGUUUCCGCACAGGAAAAGAAUAGAACUGGACUUUUGGGUGUUUGGUCCUUUCCAUCUCACCUAGGGUAAAAUUCAUCUGUGGUGGGAAAGAACAUCUCCUUAGCUCCCAGUGGUGGAGUUGCUAAAAUGUGCGGUGUGUGGUUACGUUUCUCUCUUUCCUCUCCAACCUCCACCGACUUGUCUGAGCACUUGAGCUCUAGUGGAAGGGCCCAUUCUGCAUAAUCCUGGGAUUAUAGGUAGACCUGGAGGAGAACCACCAACACGGCAACCACUUUCCUUACCAUAAAUUUCUAAAUUUGUAACCCACUAAUUCCGAAUUUUGAAAUCUCAUUUUGGAAUAGGCAGACGCUUGCCUUUGCUCUACUACAAAGGGUGAUGAUUGAAGAUGGUUGAAUGUCUUUAAGAACAUAAUCUUUUUUUUUUGAAGUUAAUUUUCUCUCUUUUUUAAAAUAGAUUUAUUUAAUUAAUUAAUUUAGGUUUUUGGCUGCCUUGGGUCUUUGUUGCUGCACGCUGGCGGCGAGCUGGGGCUACUCUUCCUGGCUGUGCGCGGGCUUCUUAUUGCGGUGGCUUCUCAUGUUGCAGAGCACGGGCUCUAGAGCGCAGGCUUCAGUAGUUGUGGCUUGAGGGCUCUAGAGUGCAGGCUCUGUAGUUGUGGCGCACGGGCUUAGUUGCUCCACGGCCUGUGGGAUCUUCCCGGACCAGGGCUCGAACGGGUGCCCCUGCGUUGGCAGGCGGAUUCUUAACCACUGUGCCACCAGGGAAGUCCCAAGGACAGAAUCUUUAAGGAUAUUUGCUCAUUGCUUGCAAACUACUCUUAAAAAAUGUUACUCGCUACAACUUUGAUACCCAAUUAACUAUGCAUGAACUUCAAAUGAAUAAAAAUGCCUUGUUUUAAUUUACUUACUAUUUUUAUAUUUUAAAAAGUGUAUGCUCAUGGACAGUUAGAAGAAGAAAGGGCGGAAAGUAAAGACUACUCAUUUCUCCGCCAUUUGCAUCUCCGUGUUAACUCCAGCUAACGGUUCCUUCUAUACUUCUGGGUAUUGGACUUUUCUUUAAUUCAGGCUGGCCUCUCUCCUUGAUUUAAAAUGAUUUACCCAGUUUCUGCUGGGUUAUAUGGAAUGCAGACAUUGAAGAAGUGAGAAAAAGCUGGUAUUGCGCUUCCCGCCCCGGGGCGCCCUUGCAGCGGGAGGCGUGCGCACGCCCGCCCCAGGGCUUCCGCCACCGCCGCCCGCGCCGGCUUCCGGUCUCCUGUCUCCCUUCCAGCCCUUCGCUGCCCACAGCAGGCCCUCUCCAGGCCCGGCACCCUUCUCCGAGAUGCGCAGGCAGCGGGGUCGCUUCCUGCCGCUGCCCAUUCCCUGCCUCCGUCCCCAACCCUGACCAGUUGACAGUUUGCCGCUGCGCGCCCCCCGCUCCCGGGGCCCUGGUUUUCUGGACCCUGUCUGUUCCCAAAAGCAGGUGUCUUAGUCUCGCCCAGCCACCCUGAACGUGCUUCCUCUCAGGAGCUGUUUAAAGACUGAGGAAUGAACGGCUCUUCUGGCCGCCUGGCCCUCCCGCCAUCUAUACUUUGCCCACAGCUUUCGGAUCUCCAAGAAGGGUGCAUCUGGAGCUGCUUUUCCUCAGACCUGUGCUGAGUGGCGCUGGUGGAGAGCUGCUAGGAGAAGAGUCCUAGUGAUCAAGGUUCCUGAAAAUGGUGCUUGAAAUGCAUCACAGGGGUUCAGUGUUUAAAGAUGCUUCUGCGCAGCCUGCUGGACCAGCACGGAAGGGACUGUGGCUGCACUCAGACCCUCUCCAGGGCCUCCCUCGAGGACAGCGUGGAGAGAGACCUUCCCAGUGGACGGAACUGUGGGCACCUUGCCCAGCUGGAGAGAGAGCCGGAGGUAAGGAUCUGCACUGGUUCGUAGAUGGCAGCUCAUGGCUUGGCUGGUUGGUUGGGGGCUCUGACAGGGAGCCUGGGGAGUGGGCAGAGCACGGUGAUGUCUGUGUCCCCUGUGAGAGCUUCCAAUGGCAUCCACUACAGAGGAGGCUUUCAGAAGUCAGGUGAACAAGAUGACGUUAGUGUGUGAAUGUUAGCUCCCCACGCCCCCACUUGCUCGGUGGCCCCCUGUGCAAAGUGGUCAUAGCGACAGGGGUGAAGCCUGUGCGUAUGGACAAGCCCUCCCCAAGGCUGGUCUGGCCACUGCUGUUGCUGAGCGCCCAGCCUGCUGGUGGCAGAGCCCACGCUUCUUCCCCGAAAGGGCGCUGCUUCCAAGAGGGGGUGGUGACGGGCCAACUACGUGGUCGUGGGUUGGUUGCAUUGGACCCCUUUCCUCCAUGGACAGGGCGGCAGUUUGUCACUACAACAGACAACUGUUCCGGCUGUGGACUUGCUUUCCCUGCCUGCGCUGCUUCUGCUAACCCCACUAUUCUUGGAUUCAAAGAAUGUUCUGUUUACCAUCAUGAUAAAUGUUC